ACCAGGAUGGCCGAACGGUUAAGGCGUUGGACUUAAGUUCCAAUGUACAAAGGUACGCGUGGGUUCGAACCCCACUCCUGGUA
RNAcentral lists this transfer RNA (83 nucleotides) under Nematostella vectensis (starlet sea anemone). It matches the Rfam family "tRNA". From Rfam's summary of the family: Transfer RNA (tRNA) molecules are approximately 80 nucleotides in length. Their secondary structure includes four short double-helical elements and three loops (D, anti-codon, and T loops). Further hydrogen bonds mediate the characteristic L-shaped molecular structure. tRNAs have two regions of fundamental functional importance: the anti-codon, which is responsible for specific mRNA codon recognition, and the 3' end, to which the tRNAs corresponding amino acid is attached (by aminoacyl-tRNA synthetases). tRNAs cope with the degeneracy of the genetic code in two manners: having more than one tRNA (with a specific anti-codon) for a particular amino acid; and 'wobble' base-pairing, i.e. permitting non-standard base-pairing at the 3rd anti-codon position. Lineage: Eukaryota; Metazoa; Cnidaria; Anthozoa; Actiniaria; Edwardsiidae. The record is from Rfam by way of RNAcentral.